AAACUAACAAGGAUUCCCCUAGUAACUGCGAGUGAAGCGGGAAAAGCUCAAAUUUAAAAUCUGGUAGUCUUUGGCUGCCCGAGUUGUAAUCUAGAGAAGCAUUAUCCGUGCUGGACCGUGUAUAAGUCUCCUGGAAUGGGGCGUCAUAGAGGGUGAGAAUCCCGUCUUUGACACGGACUUCUGGUGCUUUGUGAUGUGCUCUCAAAGAGUCGAGUUGUUUGGGAAUGCAGCUCUAAAUGGGUGGUAAAUUCCAUCUAAAGCUAAAUAUUGGCGAGAGACCGAUAGCGAACAAGUACCGUGAGGGAAAGAUGAAAAGAACUUUGGAAAGAGAGUUAAACAGUACGUGAAAUUGUUGAAAGGGAAACGCUUGAAGUCAGUCAUAUUGUCCAGGGAUCAACCUUGCUUUUUGCUCGGUGUACUUCCUGUUUCAAUAGGUCAGCAUCAAUUUUGACCAGUGGAAAAAGGCAGAGGGAAUGUGGCAUCUUCGGAUGUGUUAUAGCUUUCUGUCAUAUACAUUGGUUGGGAUUGAGGAACUCAGCACGCCGCAAGGCCGGGUUUUAACCACGUUCGUGCUUAGGAUGCUGGCAUAAUGGCUUUAAUCGACCCGUCUUGAA
RNAcentral lists this ribosomal RNA (614 nucleotides) under Inocephalus sp. BC09-417. RNAcentral describes it as "partial large subunit ribosomal RNA". It matches the Rfam family "Eukaryotic large subunit ribosomal RNA", at positions 62 to 658 of the family's 3401-position model. The record is from RNAcentral. Lineage: Eukaryota; Fungi; Basidiomycota; Agaricomycetes; Agaricales; Entolomataceae.